GACAGUGUGGCAUAGUGGUUUGAGCAUUGAUCUAUGACUCUGGAAAUCAGGCUUCAAUUCCCCGCUCUGCCA
This is a non-coding RNA of Phrynosoma platyrhinos (Desert horned lizard), 72 nucleotides long. NCBI's taxonomy places the organism in Eukaryota, Metazoa, Chordata, Lepidosauria, Squamata, Phrynosomatidae. The record is from the annotation of a GenBank genome assembly.